This 493-nucleotide ribosomal RNA is filed under the name uncultured bacterium. RNAcentral's name for it is "partial 16S ribosomal RNA". It matches the Rfam family "Bacterial small subunit ribosomal RNA", at positions 28 to 506 of the family's 1533-position model. The record is from RNAcentral.
GACGAACGCUGGCGGCGUGCUUAACACAUGCAAGUCGAACGGUGAAGCGCCUUCCUUUUUGGUGGGUGUGGAUGAGUGGCGAACGGGUGAGUAACACGUGAGUAACCUGCCCCCUUCUUCUGGAUAACCGCAUGAAAGUGUGGCUAAUACGGGAUAUUCUGGGUCUGUCGCAUGAUGGGUCUGGGAAAGAUAUUGUUUCGGUGGGGGAUGGGCUCGCGGCCUAUCAGCUUGUUGGUGGGGUGAUGGCCUACCAAGGCGGUGACGGGUAGCCGGCCUGAGGGGGUGGAGGGUCCAACGGGGAAGGAAGCACGGCCCAGACUACUACGGGGGGCAGCGGGGGGGAAUAUGGCAAAAGGGGCGAAAGCCGGAUGCAGCGACGCCGGGGGGGGGAGGGGGGCCUUGGGGUGGUGACCCUUUUUCGCGAGGGAAGGAGGCCUGCCUCGUUUGGGGGGGGUUUGAGGGUAGGGGGAAAAGAAGCCCCGGCUAACUACGG